GCUAAUGAUGACUGUGAUCCUUUGGGGUCAGCAAGGGAAUGGACAAGGCCAAGUGUUCAGUAUUACCAUGUUGAGAAGAAGUAGUGUUAUUGCCGUUAUGUGAGAAAUUUAAAUCAGACUUGUUUAUUACCAAUGCAAAGUCCAAAGGAGAGAAAGAAGAGUAACUAUGUGAACCUCUUUAUGGCUUUUCAUGGAAAUGGAAAUGCAGCAAUCUCCGAGCAACGACAACUUUCAAUUUCUGGCAAGGCAUGAAGGAAUAUCUUUUUUUAAAAAAAAGCUUAAAGGAAC
Leptonychotes weddellii (Weddell seal) is the source of this 288-nucleotide non-coding RNA. NCBI's taxonomy places the organism in Eukaryota, Metazoa, Chordata, Mammalia, Carnivora, Phocidae. The record is from RefSeq and is a predicted model, not a curated record.